Molecule: unclassified non-coding RNA, 225 nt
Filed under: Hevea brasiliensis (rubber tree)
Lineage: Eukaryota; Viridiplantae; Streptophyta; Magnoliopsida; Malpighiales; Euphorbiaceae
Source: RNAcentral
GAAAAUAGUAAUGGUAGUUAAAUGAGUUUUUUUAGGGUUUAAUAGAUAUAUUUAUUUUAAGGUUAGAAUAUUUGAUAUUAAGUUUUUUAAAGAAUAAUUUAAAUUUAUUAAGUAAAAAUUAGUUUAUUUGUGUUAGAAUAAUUAUUAAAUGGGAGUGAUUGAUAUAUUAGAUAUUAUGUUUUUUAAAAUGUUUAUUAAAGUUUUAUAUUGAUAUUUUAUAUUGUU